GACCCUGAGGAAAUCUCUCUUUAAGCCCAGCUUCUUUGCAGAAUAUGAGAAAAUAAGCAAGAUCAUGAAUAGAAAACACUGGCAAGGGGUGCCUGGAUGG
This is a long non-coding RNA of Lontra canadensis (Northern American river otter), 100 nucleotides long. RefSeq lists it as uncharacterized. NCBI's taxonomy places the organism in Eukaryota, Metazoa, Chordata, Mammalia, Carnivora, Mustelidae. The transcript has 3 exons. The record is from RefSeq and is a predicted model, not a curated record.